CACGCCGUAAACGAUGGAUACUAGGUGUAGGGGGUAUCGACCCCCCCUGUGCCGGAGUUAACGCAAUAAGUAUCCCGCCUGGGGAGUACGGCCGCAAGGCUGAAACUCAAAGGAAUUGACGGGGACCCGCACAAGCAGCGGAGCAUGUGGUUUAAUUCGAAGCAACGCGAAGAACCUUACCAGGGCUUGACAUCCCCCUGACCGGUAUAGAGAUAUACCUUUUCUUCGGAACAGGGGAGACAGGUGG
This 247-nucleotide ribosomal RNA is filed under the name uncultured Bacillota bacterium. RNAcentral describes it as "uncultured Firmicutes bacterium partial 16S ribosomal RNA". It matches the Rfam family "Bacterial small subunit ribosomal RNA", at positions 796 to 1041 of the family's 1533-position model. Lineage: Bacteria; Bacillati; Bacillota. The record is from RNAcentral.